This 575-nucleotide ribosomal RNA is filed under the name uncultured beta proteobacterium. RNAcentral's name for it is "bacterial SSU rRNA". It matches the Rfam family "Bacterial small subunit ribosomal RNA", at positions 8 to 578 of the family's 1533-position model. Lineage: Bacteria; Pseudomonadati; Pseudomonadota; Betaproteobacteria. The record is from RNAcentral.
AGAGUUUGAUCCUGGCUCAGAUUGAACGCUGGCGGCAUGCCUUACACAUGCAAGUCGAACGGCAGCACGGGAGCAAUCCUGGUGGCGAGUGGCGAACGGGUGAGUAAUAUAUCGGAACGUGCCCAGUCGUGGGGGAUAACGCAGCGAAAGCUGUGCUAAUACCGCAUACGAUCUAUGGAUGAAAGCGGGGGAUCGCAAGACCUCGCGCGAUUGGAGCGGCCGAUAUCAGAUUAGGUAGUUGGUGGGGUAAAGGCCCACCAAGCCGACGAUCUGUAGCUGGUCUGAGAGGACGACCAGCCACACUGGGACUGAGACACGGCCCAGACUCCUACGGGAGGCAGCAGUGGGGAAUUUUGGACAAUGGGCGCAAGCCUGAUCCAGCAAUGCCGCGUGCAGGAUGAAGGCCUUCGGGUUGUAAACUGCUUUUGUACGGAACGAAACGGUCCUUUCUAAUACAAGGGGCUAAUGACGGUACCGUAAGAAUAAGCACCGGCUAACUACGUGCCAGCAGCCGCGGUAAUACGUAGGGUGCGAGCGUUAAUCGGAAUUACUGGGCGUAAAGCGUGCGCAGGCGG